CGGAGGAUCCAAGCGUUAUCCGGAUUCAUUGGGUUUAAAGGGUGCGUAGGCGGAAUGAUAAGUCAGUGGUGAAAUCUCGGAGCUUAACUCCGAAACUGCCAUUGAUACUGUCAAUCUUGAGUACAUUUGAUGAGGGCGGAAUGUGUCAUGUAGCGGUGAAAUGCUUAGAUAUGACACAGAACACCGAUUGCGAAGGCAGCUCUCAAAACUGUAACUGACGCUGAGGCACGAAAGCGUGGGUAUCAAACAGGAUUAGAUACCCUGGUAGUCCACGCUGUAAACUAUGAUUACUCGAUGUUUGCGAUAUACUGUAAGCGUCUAAGCGAAAGCGAUAAGUAAUCCACCUGGGGAGUACGCUCGCAAGAGUG
RNAcentral lists this ribosomal RNA (368 nucleotides) under uncultured organism. RNAcentral's name for it is "bacterial SSU rRNA". It matches the Rfam family "Bacterial small subunit ribosomal RNA", at positions 526 to 896 of the family's 1533-position model. The record is from RNAcentral.